RNAcentral lists this unclassified non-coding RNA (230 nucleotides) under uncultured fungus. RNAcentral describes it as "sequence contains ITS2". The stretch from base 1 to 52 matches the Rfam family "5.8S ribosomal RNA", at positions 103 to 154 of the family's 154-position model. The record is from RNAcentral. Lineage: Eukaryota; Fungi.
AACGCACAUUGCGCCCUCUGGUAUUCCGGGGGGCAUGCCUGUUCGAGCGUCAUUAUGACCAAUCACGCAAGUGGUAUUGGGGCUUGCCAUCGGCAUCCCUUAAAUUUAGUGGCAGUGCUAUAGGCUCUCAGCGCAGUAAUUAUUUCGCUCUUGAGUCCUAGACACACCCGCCAAAACCCCAACUUUCUUAGGUUGACCUCGGAUCAGGUAGGGAUACCCGCUGAACUUAA